RNAcentral lists this ribosomal RNA (820 nucleotides) under uncultured bacterium. RNAcentral describes it as "bacterial SSU rRNA". It matches the Rfam family "Bacterial small subunit ribosomal RNA", at positions 33 to 889 of the family's 1533-position model. The record is from RNAcentral.
ACGCUGGCGGCACGCCUAACACAUGCAAGUCGAGCGCUCUAACCACUUCGGUGGGGACGGGAGCGGCGGACGGGUUAGUAACGCGUGGGAACAUACCCUUUUCUACGGAAUAGCCUCGGGAAACUGAGAGUAAUACCGUAUACGCCCUUCGGGGGAAAGAUUUAUCGGUUAAGGAUUGGCCCGCGUUAGAUUAGUUAGUUGGUGGGGUAACGGCCUACCAAGACGACGAUCUAUAGCUGGUUUGAGAGGAUGAUCAGCAACACUGGGACUGAGACACGGCCCAGACUCCUACGGGAGGCAGCAGUGGGGAAUCUUAGACAAUGGGCGCAAGCCUGAUCUAGCGAUGCCGCGUGAGUGAAGAAGGCCUUAGGGUCGUAAAGCUCUUUCGCCUGUGAUGAUAAUGACAGUAGCAGGUAAAGAAACCCCGGCUAACUCCGUGCCAGCAGCCGCGGUAAUACGGAGGGGGUUAGCGUUGUUCGGAAUUACUGGGCGUAAAGCGUACGUAGGCGGAUUAGUAAGUGAGGGGUGAAAUCCCAGGGCUCAACCCUGGAACUGCCUCUCAUACUGCUAGUCUUGAGAUCGAGAGAGGUGAGUGGAAUUCCGAGUGUAGAGGUGAAAUUCGUAGAUAUUCGGAGGAACAUCAGUGGCGAAGGCGGCUCACUGGCUCGAUACUGACGCUGAGGUACGAAAGUGUGGGGAGCAAACAGGAUUAGAUACCCUGGUAGUCCACACCGUAAACGAUGAAUGCCAGACGUCGGGUAGCUUGCUAUUCGGUGUCACACCUAACGGAUUAAGCAUUCCGCCUGGGGAGUACGGUCGC